GAUGAACGCUAGCUACAGGCUUAACACAUGCAAGUCGAGGGGCAGCAUGAACUUAGCUUGCUAAGUUUGAUGGCGACCGGCGCACGGGUGAGUAACACGUAUCCAACCUGCCGAUGACUCGGGGAUAGCCUUUCGAAAGAAAGAUUAAUACCCGAUGGCAUAGUUCUUCCGCAUGGUAGAACUAUUAAAGAAUUUCGGUCAUCGAUGGGGAUGCGUUCCAUUAGGUUGUUGGCGGGGUAACGGCCCACCAAGCCUUCGAUGGAUAGGGGUUCUGAGAGGAAGGUCCCCCACAUUGGAACUGAGACACGGUCCAAACUCCUACGGGAGGCAGCAGUGAGGAAUAUUGGGCAAUGGACGAGAGUCUGAACCAGCCAAGUAGCGUGAAGGAUGACUGCCCUAUGGGUUGUAAACUUCUUUUAUACGGGAAUAAAGUGGGGCACGUGUGCCUUUUUGUAUGUACCGUAUGAAUAAGGAUCGGCUAACUCCGU
Molecule: ribosomal RNA, 488 nt
Filed under: uncultured bacterium
Lineage: Bacteria
Description: partial 16S ribosomal RNA
Rfam family: Bacterial small subunit ribosomal RNA
Source: RNAcentral